UCCCUACUGCCUCAUCCCUUCCCCUCUUUUUGGGGGGGAGUGAGUGUUUGAGGCAAGGUUUCUCUGUAUAGCCCUGGCUGUCCUGGAACUCACUCUGCAGAAGAGACUGGACUCAAACUCAGUAGCAGCCUGCUUCUGCCUCCCAAGUGCUGGGAUUAAAGGCGUGUGCCACCACUGCUGGGCCUGCCUCACACCCCGGAGUAGCUGAGAUCUCAGGGCUAUGCCAUCAAGCCUGGCUCUCAGUUGGGUUUUCUGCUGAGGGACUCCCAAAGCCCACGAUAGCUUUUUUUUUUCCUUCCUGAGGAGAGAAUCCACUUCCCAGUUCUCCCAGGGUAUCUGAAGGAUUUCCUAGUUCUUCAUGGUUGCAGUACCGAGGACCCCAUCUUCUCCACAUUUGUAAGAUGACGGUCCUUGUUUCUCUCUGUCCACCAGAGCUAGGACUCAGCUUCUAGCCGGAUCAUGCUUGUGUUUCUUGGCCCAAGUUCCCCCUGCAAAGCCUGCAACGGUGUGGAAUCUCUCUCUCCUUGCCCCUGCUCUGCCUCCGAUCUCACUUCCUCUUAGGCUUUUAAGGUCUCCCUACUUUUCUCUGAAAACCUACUGUAGGCUGCAAUGCAUUCUGGGAGAAAUGGCAAGAAAGAGUACUUUGGGCAAGGCUGUCCCAGGCACCUAUGUAGCAGGUAACAGGAGUUUCAGCGUGGACUGGGGCCUUUCAGGAGCCCUCAUAUUUCAGAAGCCAAAUGCCGUCAGAGUUUUAAUUCUGCUUCAUUCAGGAGAGAAUUCACUUUUUCUGAUUGGCCGCCCAGCAAAGACCUUAGGAACCGUGAGGUUUGAAUGCUACGUGCAACACACUAAAAACUUCUAAAAGGUGGGAUGCGAAGGAGGCGGAAGCCUCAUGCCUCUGUUCCUCUGCAGGCCAGGCAAGCAGACAUCGUUCUCAGAAAUAUUCAGGAACCAGAGCCCAGCGUGGGUGAGGGCCUAGGGUGACUGGGCUGCCCCAAGUGACCCUGACCUCUACUGGAAAGGCAAAGCUCAGCCCUGCUCUAGACCAACCCCUCCCCCACUUCUGCCUUUGACUCUUCCCAAAGCGUCCUUGAACCAACAACCUCAGAAAUAAUGAUUUAAUUAUUGGUGUUUUCUCAAUGACAUAAUUAAAUAUCUACGGUGAGGUAAAUUAACCUGAACUUGUUCCGAGGAUGCUUAUGCACUACCUCGGAAGCCUUUUUUUUUUUUUUUUUCCUUUUAAAUUCAGCUUUUGGCUGUUAUGGAUCUAAAAUUAGGUUUCCAAUUUAGGUCCCAGAGGCAAGAGGUACAAAUGGCUAUAAAUAGCACGGAGGUGGCGCGCUGUCUUUAGGGUGCUUCUCUAGGAGUUAAGAGGACGCAGCACAAUCACUCCAUUGGACAACGCAAGCACUCUCCUUUGGUGCGUGAUUGGCCCGUGUGUCAGAUUGUGCCCUGUGAGGUAAGAUGGCUCGACGGUUAAGGCACUUGCCACUAAGCCUGAGGACCCGAGUUUGAUCCCAGAAGCCACGUGAUGGAUUGAGAGACCAGACUUCCAGUUGUCCCUGACCUCCUUGUGUGCACAGGAGUGCACCUGCAUGCAGAGUGGCUUUUGAGGACAUUACAGGUGCAGCAUUAGUGCAACCUUGACUUCAUCAUCUGGUUAUGAACUGACCUCGUUCAUUGGUGCAACAUGCAUCCUGAGCAUCUGGAAGCAGAGGCAGUUUCCUUCUUUAAGGAGUUAAUGGUCAAGCAAAUGGAAGAAACGAGGAAUGACCUCAACUCACCAGGACAGAGGAUGGAAAAUACUGGUGUUGAGAAAGUAGAGGGUAGUCUCAGUGAUGGGGUCAAGUCUGUCUGGGCAGAGAGGGUAGAGAAGAGGACCUGAAGGAUGUCUUUUUUGUACUGCAAUGGUAAGAGACAGAAGCCAAUCCAAAUACAACGAUGCCAUCCCUGGGCAUAAUGUGCCGAAGAAAAACACAGGAAGCUAUUCUCAGAAAUCAAUAGGGCCCUCCUGUUUGUUGGUAUGGCUUGUUUCCCUGCACCGCCCACCUCAAAUCAUCUUUUGAGCUUCUAAACUAUCAGUCGGGAGGAGCUAGGAACAGAUUCUUCCCCAGAAGAAAAUUCAAAACUCUGAAGUGACUGUGGAUAUCAGCCCCAAGGUGAAGGCCAGAGGGACGCUGGGUCCCCAUGAUGGUGAUAUCAUCUCUAGGACACUAUGUCACAAAUUCAGAAGUGAGGCACUAUUCUGGACCACCAGAGAGUCAUUUCACAGACCCGGGAGAUGAACAGGUCAUGAAUAAGAGCAAACUCCUAAUAUCAAAGAGACCAGGGUUUCCAUACUGGGUUGCAUUUUUUUUUCUCAUUUUAAUGCACUUGAUUGUCCUUAUCCGGAAAGCAGGUAUAGUGAUACUUAACUCAGAUGUUGUUCUUGAAAGAUAAGUAGGAAAAAUGGGAAGUUAUCUAUAGAGCAUAAAACUUAAUGUAUUCCCAGCACGUGGGAGACUGAGCAGGAGGACUUCAAUUUCAAGGACAGCCUAGGCUAAAAUAUCA
Molecule: long non-coding RNA, 2550 nt
Organism: Apodemus sylvaticus (European woodmouse)
Lineage: Eukaryota; Metazoa; Chordata; Mammalia; Rodentia; Muridae
Exons: 3
Source: RefSeq, a predicted model, not a curated record